RNAcentral lists this ribosomal RNA (485 nucleotides) under uncultured bacterium. RNAcentral describes it as "partial 16S ribosomal RNA". It matches the Rfam family "Bacterial small subunit ribosomal RNA", at positions 30 to 506 of the family's 1533-position model. The record is from RNAcentral.
AUUGAACGCUGGCGGCAUGCCUUACACAUGCAAGUCGAACGGCAGCACGGGUGCUUGCACCUGGUGGCGAGUGGCGAACGGGUGAGUAAUACAUCGGAACAUGUCCUGUAGUGGGGGAUAGCCCGGCGAAAGCCGGAUUAAUACCGCAUACGAUCCACGGAUGAAAGCGGGGGACCUUCGGGCCUCGCGCUAUAGGGUUGACCGAUGGCUGAUUAGCUAGUUGGUGGGGUAAAGGCCUACCAAGGCGACGAUCAGUAGCUGGUCUGAGAGGACGACCAGCCACACUGGGACUGAGACACGGCCCAGACUCCUACGGGAGGCAGCAGUGGGGAAUUUUGGACAAUGGGCGAAAGCCUGAUCCAGCAAUGCCGCGUGUGUGAAGAAGGCCUUCGGGUUGUAAAGCACUUUUGUCCGGAAAGAAAUCCUUGACUCUAAUACAGUCGGGGGAUGACGGUACCGGAAGAAUAAGCACCGGCUAACUACGU